CGGGAGCUGUACAGGUGCUGCAUGGCUGUCGUCAGCUCGUGUCGUGAGAUGUUCGGUUAAGUCCGCUAGCGAGCGCAACCCUCGCUGUGUGUUACAAGUGUCACACGGAACUGCCGGUCAUAAACCGGAGGAAGGUGGGGAUGGCGUCAAGUCAGCAUGGCCUUUAUAUCCUGGGCUACACACACGCUACGAUGGGAAGGGACAAUAGGUUGCGAAGCCGCGAGGCGGAGCCAAUCCAGCAAAACUUCCCUCAGUUCAGAUUGCAGGCUGCAACUCGCCUGCAUGAAGUUGGAGUUGCUAGUAAACGCAGGUCAGCCAUACUGCGUUGAAUACGUUCCCGGGGCUU
RNAcentral lists this ribosomal RNA (346 nucleotides) under uncultured Anaerolineaceae bacterium. Its description in RNAcentral is "bacterial SSU rRNA". It matches the Rfam family "Bacterial small subunit ribosomal RNA", at positions 1024 to 1382 of the family's 1533-position model. The record is from RNAcentral. Lineage: Bacteria; Bacillati; Chloroflexota; Anaerolineae; Anaerolineales; Anaerolineaceae.